AUGAGCAAGGCCCUGAGCCCAAGGUACCAGGGUUUAUCAAUGUACGAAAAAGAAUACCUGGCCAUCAUUGUAGCAGUGGCGGCCUUAUCUGCAACAUUCAGAAUUCGUCAUCUAUACGGAUCAAAAAAGCCUCACCCACCUGGAAGAGCAAAGGUUGAAUACCCCGUGGCAGCAGAAAGUGUUUACGAAGCUCCUGGGACUCAGAUACUGCAUCAAGUAUAA
This 222-nucleotide ribosomal RNA is filed under the name Triticum aestivum (bread wheat). Its description in RNAcentral is "partial small subunit ribosomal RNA". Lineage: Eukaryota; Viridiplantae; Streptophyta; Magnoliopsida; Poales; Poaceae. The record is from RNAcentral.